Molecule: ribosomal RNA, 380 nt
Filed under: uncultured bacterium
Lineage: Bacteria
Description: bacterial SSU rRNA
Rfam family: Bacterial small subunit ribosomal RNA
Source: RNAcentral
GACGAACGCUGGCGGCGUGCUUAACACAUGCAAGUGGUGCGACGAACCAGGGCUUGCCCUGGGGCAAAGCCGCGAACGGGUGAGUAACACGUGAGUAACCUGCCCCGAUGACCGGGACAACCCGAGGAAACUCGGGCUAAUACCGGAUGUGGCGCACAGGCAUCAGCCUGUUCGCUAAAGGAAGCUUCGGCCUCCGCAUUGGGAGGGCUCGCGGCCCAUUAGCUUGUUGGUGGGGUAACGGCCUACCAAGGCAACGAUGGGUAGCUGGUCUGAGAGGACGAUCAGCCACACUGGGACUGAGACACGGCCCAGACUCCUACGGGAGGCAGCAGUGGGGAAUCUUGCGCAAUGCGCGAAAGCGUGACGCAGCAACGCCGCGU